RNAcentral lists this ribosomal RNA (509 nucleotides) under uncultured Pseudomonadota bacterium. RNAcentral describes it as "bacterial SSU rRNA". It matches the Rfam family "Bacterial small subunit ribosomal RNA", at positions 523 to 1032 of the family's 1533-position model. Lineage: Bacteria; Pseudomonadati; Pseudomonadota. The record is from RNAcentral.
AUACGGGGGUGGCAAGCGUUAAUCGGAGUUAUUGGGCGUAAAGGUAACGUAGGUGGUUCAUUAAGUUAUGUGGGAAAUAACCUGGGCUUAACCUGGGAAUGUCGGAUAAUACUAGUGAACUUGAGUAUAGUAGAGGGUAGUGGAAUUUCCGGUGUAGCGGUGAAAUGCGUAGAGAUCGGAAGGAACACCAGUGGCGAAGGCGGCUACCUGGACUAAUACUGACACUGAGGUGCGAAAGUGUGGGGAGCAAACAGGAUUAGAUACCCUGGUAGUCCACACCGUAAACGAUGAAUGCCAGUCGUCGGGUAGCAUGCUAUUCGGUGACACACCUAACGGAUUAAGCAUUCCGCCUGGGGAGUACGGUCGCAAGAUUAAAACUCAAGGGAAUUGACGGGGGCCCGCACAAGCGGUGAGCAUGUGGUUUAAUUCGAUGCAACGCGAAGAACCUUACCUACACUUGACAUGCUGAGAAGUUACUAGAGAUAGUUUCGUGCCUUCGGGAACUCAGA